GGAUCCAGACUUUGAUUCUGGCUCAGGAUGAACGCUAGCUUACAGGCCUAACACAUGCAAGUCGAGGGGAAACGGCAGCUUAGCUUGCUUAAGCUGGACGUCGACCGGCGCACGGGUGAGUAACGCGUAUCCCAACCUGCCCCACGGUGAGGGAUAACCCGCGGAAACGCGGCCUAAUACCUCAUGGUCUCCGAGUUUGCCAUCAACCUUGGAGUAAAGAUUCAUUGCCGUGGGAUGGGGAUGCGUCUGAUUAGCUUGUUGGCGGGGCAACGGCCCACCAAGGCAACGAUCAGUAGGGGUUCUGAGAGGAAAGCCCCCCACAUUGGAACUGAGACACGGUCCAAACUCCUACGGGAGGCAGCAGUGAGGAAUAUUGGUCAAUGGGCGAGAGCCUGAACCAGCCAAGUAGCGUGCAGGAUGACGGCCCUAUGGGUUGUAAACUGCUUUUAUGCGGGGAUAAAGCGGGCGACGUGUCGCCCUUUGCAGGUACCGCAUGAAUAAGGACCGGCUAAUUCCGUGCCAGCAGCCGCGGUAAUACGGAAGGUCCGGGCGUUAUCCGGAUUUAUUGGGUUUAAAGGGAGCGCAGGCCGGGUAUUAAGCGUGUUGUGAAAUGUAGGCGCCCAACGUCUGCACCGCAGCGCGAACUGGUGCCCUUGAGUACGCACGACGUUUGGCGGAAUUCGCCGUGUAGCGGUGAAAUGCUUAGAUAUGGCGAAGAACUCCGAUUGCGAAGGCAGCUGACGGGAGCGCUACUGACGCUCAUGCUCGAAAGCGCGGGUAUCGAACAGGAUUAGAUACCCUGGUAGUCCGCGCGGUAAACGAUGGAUGCCCCGCUAUUUGCGCAUUUAGCGCAA
RNAcentral lists this ribosomal RNA (854 nucleotides) under uncultured bacterium. RNAcentral describes it as "bacterial SSU rRNA". It matches the Rfam family "Bacterial small subunit ribosomal RNA", at positions 1 to 841 of the family's 1533-position model. The record is from RNAcentral.